This 77-nucleotide small RNA is filed under the name Candidatus Lactobacillus pullistercoris. RNAcentral describes it as "SMK box translational riboswitch (SAM-III)". It matches the Rfam family "SAM-III riboswitch aptamer (SMK box)". Lineage: Bacteria; Bacillati; Bacillota; Bacilli; Lactobacillales; Lactobacillaceae. The record is from RNAcentral.
UUAAGGUCCUGAUAGGAUUCAUUUUAUGAAGAUGCCUUGUAACCGAAUAGCUAUAUGUCUAUAUAGGGGGACUAUUA